Molecule: small RNA, 320 nt
Filed under: Pongo abelii (Sumatran orangutan)
Lineage: Eukaryota; Metazoa; Chordata; Mammalia; Primates; Hominidae
Description: retained intron
Source: RNAcentral
CAGCACUUGGGAUGUGCACCAACAGUUCUUAUGGGGGCCCGGCCUCCUCAUCACUCCAGUUCUGGAUGAAUUCUACUCCUUAAGACUGUAGCUGCAGCUGCAUAGACAAGCUACCUUUCUAGAGAGAGAAACAUCCAUCUACAUGCUGAGGAGUAUUUUUUAGUGUUUUCUGUAAUUUCAUAGCAGAACCUGGGUAAAGUUAACCUAAACUGCUAACAUCAGUCAUGAUGAAAUGUGAAAAAAUACCUUCAUAUACUUUAUUCAGCAAUAAGAUAGGCUGACAUAGUAUCUCAUAAAUUAAUAUUGGAGGAACUGAUGGA